GUACGCGUAAUUGAACGGUUAAUUUACAACACCGGGCAACAGUGGUUUCAGGUGGACAUCAGCUGUUUACCACGCGACUAAACACAAGAAUUUUUUUUGUUUACGAUGCGAUUUCCUAGAGGUUAGUUUUACGUUGAAAAAUAAUUUAAAAGUUUGUUGGAGAACUUCAAUGAUGGUGUAGUUCGAUUCAAGAGCAUUUCAAUGGGAAAUCAAGUCUGCGCAAGAUAAUCAUUAAAAGGAGUGACUUUGUGAGCAUCAAUAUGGGCAACUAUGCGUUUAACCACUAGCUUCCUAAUACUUCUGUCAUGCUGGGGUUUGACCAUGGAAGAACUACAACCGACCCCAAAUACAUAUCUUUACUCUGAUGUAGAUGCUUGCACGAGAUAUAACUUCUUACCGAUCAAUGAAAAAAAUUUCCGGGAAGCCAUUCUUUUCUUCAAUCUUUGCCAGCAGCUCAUACAUGUUCUUCCAGCAGAACAACGUAAAGACUAUGCUAGAUACCUUAGACAUGAGCUUAUCAUGACACGAAAUGAAUUCAAAUCAAAAAACGAAAACAAAGAUAUUGCAGAAUGGCUUGAAAAAAAAAUUGACUCUCUUCUCCUGGAUAUAGACAAACAGCAGUCUGAUGCAGGGUGAAUAUUUUCUAAAAUUUAUUUUUUUUAAGAAGUUAGGUACCUAAGUAGGUACUUUGAUAAAUUAAACAGAGGUUUAAACAGAAUUUAAAACUCUUUCACUCUUAAUUCUAUAAUAUGGCAAGCCAUAGCCUAUAAUAAGGAUUUAAAAAAAAAAAAACACCUUUUGCAAUUUUUACAUUUGUGUUCUUUCAGUAAAUACUAUUAUAUCCCUACUGAUUACAAAACAAUUUGUUUGCUUCAAUGAUUGACAACCUCAUAAUCUUCCUCCAACUUCAGCUGCAAGCGGAAGUUUCUUUUUUUUUUUAAUGCUUUGAGAUCUAGUUACCUAUAGCACGUUUUAACUUUCUUGGAUCAAAAUUUUAAAAAAUGCCAUGGGUGUCAAAAUGUCAUAUGGUUUAGAAAACUUAAAAUUCCGCGGUCCAGAUGAUGAUCCGUAGAAAAUGGCACCAAGCCAUGGAUAUACUGUUCUAUUCUAACCAGCCGUAGAGGCUUCAUUAUUUAUAGCUCGUUCAUAACUUUUUGGAUUGAAAUUUUAAAAAUUUCCAUACGUGUCUUAAUAUCGUAGUUAAAAAAACUCGAAAUUCAGAGCUUGAGCUUGCCAUCUGUGGAAAAUGGCAAUAGAGCAUGGCUAUAACAUUCUUUUUUAAUGACUUGUAGAGGCUCUAUUAUUUUCAGCAUGUUUCAACUUUCUCGGACUAAAAUUUAAAAAUUUCCAUAGGUGUCAAAAUAUUGUAGUUAAAAAAACUCAAAAUUCUGUGCUCCAGAUUCUCAUUCGGAGAAAAUGGUGACAGAGUAUGGAUGUAACGUCCUCUGCAAAAAAAUAUCGCGUCAAACAUCCUAUUUCUGGUAUUUUCAAAAACAGGGUUUCUUUGCCAUAUUCAGGCCUAGAAAAAAAUCUAAAAAAAUGCUCCAAAGCUCAAUUUACGAUUUUUUUUAAAAAGUCGUAUUGACAAGGUGGAUGCCACCGACCCAUUAGAAAUGAGGAAUGUGGCAUUUUAUCAAUUUUUGAUCUUGCAAUUAAAUCUCUCAAAUUAAAGAGGUAAAAGAGAACCGACGACUGAUUUAGAGUUUUGACACAGAGAAUCAAUACUUUUAAUUCUCAUGCUUCUUAUUAUUUCUUGACAUUAUAAUUCACUCCGGAUAAUCACAUGAUAUUUAUUAAUAUUUU
Molecule: long non-coding RNA, 1803 nt
Filed under: Bemisia tabaci
Lineage: Eukaryota; Metazoa; Arthropoda; Insecta; Hemiptera; Aleyrodidae
Description: lncRNA ENSSSA3NGG006379
Source: RNAcentral